Molecule: long non-coding RNA, 806 nt
Filed under: Ananas comosus (pineapple)
Lineage: Eukaryota; Viridiplantae; Streptophyta; Magnoliopsida; Poales; Bromeliaceae
Description: long non-coding RNA (ACOM_LNC020189)
Source: RNAcentral
UAUUAAUAGUAUUUUAGCUCUUUUGCUAUCAAUUUUCUAGCCGUUAGAUCUACACUUUAAUAAAUUCCACCCGUUAGAUCAUACUAUUCAACCAACCACCCAAUCAACCCUAGAACAUCACUAUCAUCCUAAGCCUAUAAUUAUUGAUCCAAGGUUAAAAACUAUAUAGUAAAAGAGCUCAAAUACAUUAAUAGUAUUCCAGUCCAAUUAUAUACAUAUCUAUAUAGAGCUAGUCUCCUAUACUAUCUAAAGUAGCGGAGCUUCAGUACUAUAGUCUCGUUUUCGAUCUUAGGGUGUUCAAAUCAACGAUCCACAUCGUUAAAACUGAUCUAGUGUAUUUAAAGUCUUUAGAAAUAAAAUUUUAUAUUUUUUCGACAUAGUUUACUUUAUGAUCAAACCAUUUCAAAAUUGUCAAUUUUCAAUGGCUAUUAUGGCGAGUUUGGAGUUUAACGGCAUAGAAGAAUCUAAAUUUCUUCAAAUUUUGAUAAAAAUACUUUAAACUAUCUAGAUUAAGGUUAACAUUCUUGAUCUUGAAUUUAAAAAUCCUAUACUCAAAUUUUAAAGAUUAUUCAAUUUUCGCUAUCCAUUUUGACAUAAUUUAUUUACUAAGUAAACGAUGUCGAAAAAAACUAAAAUUUUAUUUCUAAGAACUUCAUAUACUCUAGAUCAUAUUUAACAGUGUGGAUCAUUAAUUUGAACACCCAAAGAUCGAAAACAAGACUAUAGUACCGGAGCUCCGGUACUAUAGAUAGUAUAAUAGCCUAAUUCUAUAUAUAUAUAUAUAUAUAUAUAUAGAGAGAGAGAGA